Molecule: long non-coding RNA, 214 nt
Filed under: Pan troglodytes (chimpanzee)
Lineage: Eukaryota; Metazoa; Chordata; Mammalia; Primates; Hominidae
Description: lincRNA
Source: RNAcentral
ACAGAGGCUGUAGAAUGUGCACUGGGGCUUGGUGUCUCUUGCUGCCCUGGAGACCAGCUGCCCCACGAAGGAAACAGAGCCAACCUGCUGCUUCCUGGAGGAGGACAGUCCCUCAGUCCCUCUGUCUCUGCCAACCAGUUAACCUGCUUCCUGGAGGAAGACAUCACUCUGUCUCUGCCAACCCAGUUGACCGCAGACAUGCAGGUCUGCUCAG